RNAcentral lists this ribosomal RNA (506 nucleotides) under uncultured Acidobacteriaceae bacterium. RNAcentral describes it as "bacterial SSU rRNA". It matches the Rfam family "Bacterial small subunit ribosomal RNA", at positions 8 to 489 of the family's 1533-position model. Lineage: Bacteria; Pseudomonadati; Acidobacteriota; Terriglobia; Terriglobales; Acidobacteriaceae. The record is from RNAcentral.
AGAGUUUGAUCCUGGCUCAGAACGAACGCUGGCGGCGUGCCUAACACAUGCAAGUCGAACGAGAAAGCAGACUUCGGUCUGCUAGUACAGUGGCAGACGGGUGAGUAACACGUGGGUAAUCUGCCCGGAGGUGGGGGAUAACCUUCCGAAAGGAAGACUAAUACCGCAUAAUAUCUGAUUUGUUUCGGCUUUUCAGAUCAAAGUUGGCCUCUACUUGUAAGCUAACACCAUCGGAUGAGCUCGCGGCCCAUUAGCUUGUUGGUGAGGUAACGGCUCACCAAGGCCACGAUGGGUAGCCGGCCUGAGAGGGCGAUCGGCCACACUGGAACUGAGACACGGUCCAGACUCCUACGGGAGGCAGCAGUGAGGAAUUUUGCGCAAUGGGGGAAACCCUGACGCAGCGACGCCGCGUGUAGGACGAAGGCCUUCGGGUCGUAAACUACUGUCAAGUGGGACGAAUGCCACGGGGACUAAUAAGGCCUGUGGUGACGGUACCACUGAGAGCC